Long non-coding RNA from Symphalangus syndactylus (siamang), 883 nucleotides. RefSeq lists it as uncharacterized. The record is from RefSeq and is a predicted model, not a curated record. Lineage: Eukaryota; Metazoa; Chordata; Mammalia; Primates; Hylobatidae.
CAGGUGGGCGGGGUGAAGUGUCUGGCUACGGGAGCCACGCCGGGACAAAAUGCCCGAUGGACGUACGCGAACCCGAGGCAAUGUCAGUCCCGCGCCGCAACCGCGUCAGCUCCGUUGCUAGGGGCUCCGCGGAGUUCCGGCCUUGGCGGCAACGGGUGGCAGGUGUCCAAGGAGCCCCAAGUAGAGACGGGGUUUCACCGUGUUAACCAGGAUGGUCUCGAUCUCCUGACCUCGUGAUCCGCCCACCUCGGCCUCCCAAAGUGCUGGGAUUACAAGCGUGAGCCACCGCGCCCGACCAUAGCCCCAAGGUUCUCGACCCGUGCGGCGGGGCGUCCUGCGGUGAGUCCAAGACGCAGAGAAGAGUCUCGCGGGAGCCUCACCCGAGGCGGCACCGGCGCCCGGGCAAGUCGAGCCCUUCUGCGGUGAGUCCGCGCCCUGGGGUCGCUGCGCCAAGAGCCCAGGAGAGGCGCCUCCGCUCCUCGAAGUCUCAGCAGCCCGCAUGGCCGUACGACUCCCCACAGAGGGUGCCGGGGCCUCCCGCCCAAGACCCCGGGGCGGCCCCUUCCCGCGUGGCGCGGCCAGCAAGGUCCUCUUGCGGGACGUGGACGGGGCCGGGGUGCCUGGGCAGGCGCCGCCCCGGAGCCCACGGUCCAUGCGCUCCCAGCGGCCCCGACUCUCUCCUUGAUGGAACUGGUUGACUUCACGGAAUAUAUGGAGUGACUUUUCCCCCUGGAUUGGAAACUAUUUUAAGCCUGAAUAAUGUUAGAUACAACGAGUUCUAAAUUUCCCUUCAAAGAACCAGUAUGUCAGUAUGUUCACUCUUUGUCCUGCAUUUUAAAGUCUAACUUCCUCGCAGUUGCAGUAAACAACCUUUUCCACCUGU